ACAGGGCCACGAGCAGUUCUUAUGGAAUAUGGUUUGAUAUAUAUUUUGUUGAGAUGGCCUAACACCAUUGAUUUUUGGUUGCAUUCCACUAACAGAACAUGGCAAGAUCAAGGUUAUGGUCAGGGUUGGUUGGUGAUCCUCAGUGCUGCUGUGCAGUAGAAGGUGAGUUUGAGGUGAGAGGAACAAGUAGGAAAGAGUGAUCCCAUGAACCACCUCUUCACUUUCUCAGCUUUCAUCCCCACCUAGGUUUUGUAAGCCUGGAACUUGGGAGACUGUUCUGUAGCCCAGGUCUCCUAAGAUUGGCUGCUGGACUUGCCUGAGUUGAGGGUGCAGUGGGUUGACCCUGGGCUGCCCAGCAUUCAUGUGGAAGUGAAGGAAGGAGGACUGGUCAAUCCCAUUUGAAAGCAUCCCUCUCUGCAGCCCACACCAUCUUCCAAUGACACGGACAGAGGUGUGCCCUUCUACAGUACUGGGACCAAAAUUCAGAAGUGUCUGCAACCUUGCUUUAACAGUGUGGGAAAUAACCUCUAUCACCUGGAAUUUCCCUGGAACUUUGGAAUAUACAAGAGAAUGGCGGUGCAAGGGCUGCGGCACAGCUAGCAGAGCCGGGGCGAGGAGGACAGCGCCUGCAUCGAGCUCUCCACCUCCCCUGCCCGCCAGCCCAGGCGGCCUCAGCAGCAGCGACCAGAGGAGCCCCUGCAGCAAUGCAACGGCCA
This is a long non-coding RNA of Nomascus leucogenys (northern white-cheeked gibbon), 716 nucleotides long. RefSeq lists it as uncharacterized. The transcript has 3 exons. NCBI's taxonomy places the organism in Eukaryota, Metazoa, Chordata, Mammalia, Primates, Hylobatidae. The record is from RefSeq and is a predicted model, not a curated record.